RNAcentral lists this transfer RNA (78 nucleotides) under Streptomyces goshikiensis. RNAcentral describes it as "tRNA-Gly". Lineage: Bacteria; Bacillati; Actinomycetota; Actinomycetes; Kitasatosporales; Streptomycetaceae. RNAcentral also lists the same sequence under 1 other name. The record is from RNAcentral.
UCCCGGGAUGGCGCGGGCGCGGCAUCUACCGUCUGCUGGUCGCGCACCGCGCCCGGAUCGCCGCCGGUCUCGGGAUCC